GACACUGCAAAUAUUUUUUUUGUGCUGACAACAUUUUUAAUUUUUGUUGUUUGGGGUAUCUUGAGAACCUCCAGUACAUUGGCUGUUGUUUUGACAUAAGAAAAACACAUUUUUAUCAUCAGUCACAAUUCUGUUUAAGAGUACUUGAAUUCACCUUCCUCAUCACUGUAUCUGGCAAGAAAUGUUAAAGCAAUGCCCAGUCGCUUCAUUCUGUAAGCAUUUUUGGAACCCAAUGGGAAUAUAAUUUGUGAAAAUUUAAGCAAUUUGUGGCAAUCUCUUGCCAAACAGUUUUUGAAAUUUAUAGAGACUCAUCACAGAGCACUCUUAUUGUGAAUUUCUCAUUCACCUUCUCAACAAAACUAUCACUGAGAACAGGAAGCUGCCCAUUCUGUGCUCCGUCAUUUACAAUGGUUCAUCUAUCAUUGAACUGUCUCGCCCACUUUCUCACCAUUCCAUCAGUCAUUACAUUUUCACCAUAAAUCUCUUAAGUUCAUGAUUAUUUCAGCUGGCAUUCUUUGCAUUCAAAAAUCUUAUAACAGAAUACAAUUCAGUCAUCAGGCUCAUAGAUUGUCAAACAUUUUGAAUGAUGGCUAACAAAUGUUAAGCACGACACAUUCUAGCUGUAAUGGCACCAGUGGAAAGUCAGUGAACCAGAGAGACGAGUGUGAAUGUGCAGAACUGCAAUGCUAGUCUUGUGGUAGCAGUAGAAUGAAACGGUAUUUACUUUCCAGACAUGCAUCUUACAAUAAACCUGAAGUACAUAUUCCAUAGUAACAACUUAUUUUUUAACUUACAGAUUCUGUAUUUCACAAGAUUUUGGAUGGAACCUGGGUUAAAAAUAGUGGAUACACGAGACUGCUACACCAAGUACAGCAAAUGAAUUUUCCGCACUGGCAGCCCUACAUCAAAUGAAUAAACCUAUAUAUACUAAUUACUGUAUUCAAAAAAUUAUAUUUUUACAUGACCAGGUUCCUCAUAUCCAUAGCACACAUCCACCACUGACCCAAAUCACCUGUUCACCAAGAGGUUGUCAGCAUUAGGGCUCAGGCAACACGCCAGAUACUCUCCACUGAUUUUCUCAAAAACUACACUAUUGAGGCAAAACCCAAAGCAGGUGUGUUAUCUUUUCUCUCAAUGACUAACAUUAGUGCACAAUUGCACAAGAUUCUGUGACUAUGUGGUGGUCUCUCCAAGCAAGAUUUCUGAGGACAUUCUGUACAGAAGGCUUCAGCAGGAGAUACCUGCUGGCCAUUACAGAGAGGGAAAAAGGAGAAGCUGGGACAAUGUUCCUGAGAGAGAACUUAACUAAUGAACAUGGGUUGAAACACAUUCAGGAACUCGUGCUCAGCUCAAAGGUGAUGCAGGAUUUUAUGUCCUCCAUUUCUUGGCCCACAGGUGGUUGCAUACAGGAGUGAAAUGACGACGGGAUCAAGCUGAGAUUUUUCAGGUCUCUCUGGUUGGAGAUAGUACAGAAUGACUCUGCUGUUGCACUAAGGACAUCAGUAUAGUGGUGGUACAGAAAUGAGACUGAGCUGACUUACUAGUUUAUUUUUAUUGCUUCUUCACGUGUUUGCUUUGAAUAUGCAGAUCACAGACACUGGUUUAUAAAUUCUUAUAUCUUCAGUAAGUACAUGAAGUAAUUUUGGAAAUACAGGUCGAAACCGUCAAAGUGUCAGCGUCUAUUGCUCUAAUCAAACACUUAGGUUAAAGUACUUUUCACUGUGAAGUUGAAUAUAGACAUAGUUACACGUAGACAAAUAUAUGAUGGAAGUCAAUAACACCAAACCAGAUGCACACACAGGCAAACUUUGCCUAUCUUUCUUAGUGUACAAGCUUAACUGAAGAUAAUGCUCACUUUUAUAUGAUUUGCUGUUGGCUCCUGGUCAUCCGAGGUAACUUGGUUUGGAACACUGGUGCUGACUGCAACACUCAAACUCUGCCUUGCUUGGCAUGGCACAUGAUUGGGUCACUUUUUACCUCCAAUUCACAAUCAGUGAGUGUGAAAUCAGCGGUUUCUCAAUGUGGGUGACCUCUUAAUGGACUGAUGAAAGUAGCUUGCGUUGUAAGACUACCUGAGUUAGAAGGCUUACAGCUAAUAUUCAUACUUACACAAAUUCUCUUUUUUCUGGCAACCCUUCACGAUUUGGUCAUUAAAACUGUGACAAACAGUGCAGCCAAAGGUGAGGAUACUUGUUAAGGGUUCCAAGCUACCACAUGCCCACAGGUGGGACCAGUGGCAUAACUGCUACUUUUAUUUCACCCCCUCCUCCACACAAACACCUACCCACCUUCCUACCUUUCUGUAAACCCAUUUCUGUCUUAAGCAUUUUCACAGAGUGAUCUGGGAAAUUUUUUCCUUGGGUGUCCUAGGACCUACAAUGAAUAAAAUUGUAAAUUUUCUACCCAGUUUGUAUAAAAGUGAAAGCCAUGAACAAAAGGUUGAUUUAGACAAGUUUAUUAGACAUGAACAGUGAUAGAAUUUUCUCACUUAACCAGAGUCCAAACAAGGACACAACCUUAAUUUAACAGAUACUGAACCAACAAGCUUCACACUGCAUUUGUCCACGCAAAAUAUUGUAGUAGACCUUUUAUGAAUUUCUUACUAAACCUCUCAAAGUAAUCCUCUACAUUCCUUACAUAAAAUUGUGGCAUAUUUCCAUUUUUCCAUGUGUGUUCGUGUUCUGCCCUAAUAAUCUCAAGGAUAGUGGUAUGUUAAAUUAACCUUCACUCUAUUAGUGCACUCAUAUGAAGUAAUUUAAAUUUCUACAGUAGAAUCAUCAAUCUGCCUAGUUCUUAACUAUGCCAUCACUAGUGUUUUCCAAUGCAGUUUUAUUUACCAUACAAUUAUGUGCAAUGUAUUUUUCUUAUUAAUACUUGGAAAGUUGCAGUGAAACCAGUGAUCUCCAUACUAACUGGAUGUACAUCUUCUGUCUUUAACCAUAGCACUUAUCUGUGCCGUCUCAGGAGUGUUUGUUUAUAUCAUCCGCCAUCUUUUAGUUAGGCAAAAAGUUUCUCUUGGUGUUAAUGAAGUGUAUGUUGUGAGUGUAAAAUGGUUCUUUUGUGCUCCGCAUACAACUGUACGAACCGGUGGAACAAGGAAAAUAAUUUAACUUUCCACAGGUUUCCUCUGCAAAAAGGCGAUUAGCUGAGACAGUGGGUCAUUACCACUAAACGCAAAGGUUUCACGCCUGCAAGGGCUAGUUUCUUGUGUGGAGAUCACUUCUUGGAAGAAGAUUAUUUAGUAAGGCCUGGUACUUUGAGAAGGCAUCUCAAGCCUGAUGCAGUGCCAUCACAGUUUGUGUUUCCGAUGCAUUUAAUGCCCAAGGAAAAGCAACCAAGGUGACAGAUUGGAAUAACAACUGAACAGCCUACUGCAGAAACUCAUGAUUAUAUUGAACAGUUUUCUCAGAGUUACGAAACAUCUAAGGAAUGUGGAUCUCAAACACAAAUAGAAAUGAUUGACAAGGCCACUGACACAUGCAGUUUCUUUACCAGAUGUGGAGGCACUGGGAAGGAAAAAUCAAGAGCCUGCAGGAAAAAAUUAGGAGAAAAGAGAAGAAAAACUAUUCAAUGAAAGAGAAGGGUCAUCUAACAGAGAAGCUGCAUGAAUUCCUGAAUCAACUAACAGGGACUCAGGUGGAAUUAGUGUGCAAUUUGUUGAAUAAUAGUGUGUCAUCCAAGGGAAACAGGUACAAAACAGACAAAAUGUUUGCAAUGACAGUGUAGUUUUACUCUCCUAAGGCAUAUGGAUAUUUAGACAGACAGACAUUAAUGCCUCUGCCUCUCAAAUCACUGAUUUCUCGUUUGGCAGGGACUGUGAAUUGUGAUCCUGGCUUUUUAAGUGAUGUGUUCAGGUACUUUGAGUUUAACCAUCAAGUGAGGACUGAAUUUAAAGAUUCUAGCCUCAUAAGAGACAGUAUGGCAAUUAGAAAACAGGUAGUGUGGGACCAGGAAACUAAGAGGUAUACAGGUUUUGUAGAUUUUGGAGAAGUUGAACAAUCAAAAGCAGCUUCAGAGGCAUUAUAUUUUAUGCUUGUGUCCAUAAAAGGUAAAUUUAAGUGUCCUGUAGCGUAUUUUUUAGUGAAUGGCUUUAAUGGUAGUGUACAGGUAAAGUUAAUAAACUCUGCUCUGGAGAGGCUAAGCAAUUCAGGCAGUCACUUGUAAUGGCACAAGGACAAAUAUAAGUACCCUUCGUUCAUUGGGAUGCAGCAUUAAUUUUCAUCAAAAAGUUUCUUCUUCUCAGUUCCUUCGCCCAGUUUCAAACCACAAUGUUUACUGCAUUUUGGAUAUGUGUCAUUUAGUGAAACUUGCUUGAAAUGCAGAUUAGCAGAAGUAGGUGUUAUAGAGUCUACAAAUGGCCAUAUUAAGUGGCAGUACUUAAAAGAACUAAAUGAGUAGCAAAUUGAGGAAGGCAUGACAUUUGCUAACAGGUUGUCAGGACAACGUAUUAAUUAUGUUAAUAAAAAGAUGAAUGUCAGCUUAGCAGUUCAAACAUUCAGUUUGAGUGUUGCAGAUACUAUAGAUUUUUUGAGAAGAGCUGGCAAUCCCAGAUUCCAUGGUAGUGAGGCAACAGUGGAGUUUGAGAUUUAUAGACAGAAUUUUUGAUGUCUUGAACUCCAGCAAUCUUCUACCUUCAGGAUAUAAAGCCAGCCUGAAACUUAGUAAUCAGACACAUUGGCUUGAUAUUUUGCAUCAGACAUAAUCUUAUAUAAGAAGUUUAAAAGUAAAUGGUGUUUCUCUCGUGCAGCAUCCGAUUAAGGCCAUUGCACUGGAAAUAAUGACUAGGGAAAUUCUCAUGUGUGAGAUCUAGAGGGGGUUGGAAUAACAACCCAAAUUCAUACCAGUUGGAGUGUGCUAUGCGCAAGUUGCUUUUAGGCACUAAUGUUAGCAUUGUUGGGGGAUACUCUGCAAAUUUUAACAUGUGUUCAAUGGUACCUGUAGGACUGUAUGAUUUCCGAUCACAAAAGUGUCCUCCUGUAGAUGAAGUAGAAAAAUGGUGCUCACUUACUGAAGAAGGUACUAUGUUGCCCUCACAAUUUCAAAACAAGUUACAUGUAAGGACUGCCUCUACAUUCUUAGGCCACGCAACAUAUGCACUUCUUAGUACUGCAGAAGAGAGCUCAUUCACAAAAUUUGUAAGCCGAGGCAAGCUUAUUGAAACAAAUAAGGCUGUAUACUCUGUGGUGGAGCACUCAGAAAAAUUGUAGUGACAUUAGGCAAAAGCACUUACUAAUUAAGAUUGUCAUGUGUUUGAAUUAUUCAUACCUUAAACUUAACCAUGACUUUCAUAAUGAAUGCAGAAUUUAAGAUUUGCAUGAGAGAGAGCUUGUACGUAAGAUUACAUUCAGGUGCAGCUGAAAACAUAUGGGGAAAAGGGUUUCAGUUGAGAAAAUAGGUCACAAUACAACUAGUGUAAGACAAAAACUCAGUAAGAUUAUUCUAUUCAGUAAUGUGUAGUGUUGUGCCUGUAACGUUGGGAAUCGACACAGAAUUCAUCAACCGACCACGGCAUAACAGCCCGGAUAAUUAUAAUGGACAUGUGCGUGUAACAUUGCAGCAGUGGUUAAAAAUGUAUGGAAAUGACAAAAAUAAAUUUCAUAUUUAGUGUUUCAA
Molecule: long non-coding RNA, 5613 nt
Organism: Schistocerca cancellata (South American locust)
Lineage: Eukaryota; Metazoa; Arthropoda; Insecta; Orthoptera; Acrididae
Exons: 3
Source: RefSeq, a predicted model, not a curated record